GCCUUAGAAGCUAAGUGGAAAGCUAUUAAUCUUGUAAAUUAAAGGAUGAAGGUUCAAAUCCCUCAUAAGGC
Molecule: transfer RNA, 71 nt
Filed under: Oreaster clavatus
Lineage: Eukaryota; Metazoa; Echinodermata; Asteroidea; Valvatida; Oreasteridae
Description: tRNA-Thr
Rfam family: tRNA
About the family: Transfer RNA (tRNA) molecules are approximately 80 nucleotides in length. Their secondary structure includes four short double-helical elements and three loops (D, anti-codon, and T loops). Further hydrogen bonds mediate the characteristic L-shaped molecular structure. tRNAs have two regions of fundamental functional importance: the anti-codon, which is responsible for specific mRNA codon recognition, and the 3' end, to which the tRNAs corresponding amino acid is attached (by aminoacyl-tRNA synthetases). tRNAs cope with the degeneracy of the genetic code in two manners: having more than one tRNA (with a specific anti-codon) for a particular amino acid; and 'wobble' base-pairing, i.e. permitting non-standard base-pairing at the 3rd anti-codon position.
Source: RNAcentral